This 366-nucleotide ribosomal RNA is filed under the name uncultured bacterium. Its description in RNAcentral is "bacterial SSU rRNA". It matches the Rfam family "Bacterial small subunit ribosomal RNA", at positions 28 to 417 of the family's 1533-position model. The record is from RNAcentral.
GACGAACGCUGGCGGUGUGCUUCACACAUGCAAGUCGAACGAGGUAGCAAUACCUAGUGGCGGACGGGUGAGUAACGCGUGGGAAUCUGCCUUUAGAUGGGGGAUAACGGGUCGAAAGACUCGCUAAUACCGCAUAUGACGAAAGUUGAAAGGAGUAAUCCGUCUAAAGAUGAGCCCGCGUCCGAUUAGCUAGUUGGUAGAGUAAAAAGCCUACCAAGGCGACGAUCGGUAGCUGGUCUGAGAGGAUGAUCAGCCACGAAAUGGGACUGAGACAUGGCCCAUACUCCUACGGGAGGCAGCAAGUCGGGGAAUUUUACGCAAUGGCGAAAGCCUGACGUAGCGACACCGCGUGAGUGAAGAAGGCCU